UACGAAGGGGGCUAGCGUUGCUCGGAAUCACUGGGCGUAAAGCGCACGUAGGCGGAUCUUUAAGUCAGGGGUGAAAUCCUGGAGCUCAACUCCAGAACUGCCUUUGAUACUGGCGAUCUUGAGUCCGGGAGAGGUGAGUGGAACUCCGAGUGUAGAGGUGAAAUUCGUAGAUAUUCGGAAGAACACCAGUGGCGAAGGCGGCUCACUGGCCCGGUACUGACGCUGAUGUGCGAAAGCGUGGGGAGCAAACAGG
This 253-nucleotide ribosomal RNA is filed under the name uncultured bacterium. RNAcentral describes it as "partial 16S ribosomal RNA". It matches the Rfam family "Bacterial small subunit ribosomal RNA", at positions 524 to 776 of the family's 1533-position model. The record is from RNAcentral.